Molecule: ribosomal RNA, 268 nt
Filed under: Salmonella enterica
Lineage: Bacteria; Pseudomonadati; Pseudomonadota; Gammaproteobacteria; Enterobacterales; Enterobacteriaceae
Also listed under: 2 other names
Description: partial 23S ribosomal RNA
Rfam family: Bacterial large subunit ribosomal RNA
Source: RNAcentral
UGAGGGGGGCUGCUCCUAGUACGAGAGGACCGGAGUGGACGCAUCACUGGUGUUCGGGUUGUCAUGCCAAUGGCAUUGCCCGGUAGCUAAAUGCGGAAAAGAUAAGUGCUGAAAGCAUCUAAGCACGAAACUUGCCCCAAGAUGAGUUCUCCCUGAGACUUAGAGUCUCCUGAAGGAACGUUGAAGACGACGACGUUGAUAGGCCGGGUGUGUAAGCGCAGCGAUGCGUUGAGCUAACCGGUACUAAUGAACCGUGAGGCUUAACCUU